Molecule: non-coding RNA, 80 nt
Filed under: human gut metagenome
Description: Glycine riboswitch
Rfam family: Glycine riboswitch aptamer
About the family: This family represents the bacterial glycine riboswitch.
Source: RNAcentral
GGGACUCUGGAGAAGCUCAAUUUUGAGUGCCGAAGGUGCAAGGCAGAAAUGCCGAAUCUCUCAGGCAAAAGGACAGAGAA